RNAcentral lists this ribosomal RNA (507 nucleotides) under uncultured bacterium. RNAcentral's name for it is "partial 16S ribosomal RNA". It matches the Rfam family "Bacterial small subunit ribosomal RNA", at positions 28 to 507 of the family's 1533-position model. The record is from RNAcentral.
GACGAACGCUGGCGGCGUGCCUAAUACAUGCAAGUCGAACGCAUUUUCUUUCACCGUAGCUUGCUACACCGAAAGAAAAUGAGUGGCGAACGGGUGAGUAACACGUGGGUAACCUGCCCAUCAGCGGGGGAUAACACUUGGAAACAGGUGCUAAUACCGCAUAAUUCCAUUUACCGCAUGGUAAAUGGAUGAAAGGCGCUUUUGCGUCACUGAUGGAUGGACCCGCGGUGCAUUAGCUAGUUGGUGGGGUAACGGCCUACCAAGGCUGCGAUGCAUAGCCGAACGGAGAGGGUGAUCGGCCACACUGGGACUGAGACACGGCCCAGACUCCUACGGGAGGCAGCAGUAGGGAAUCUUCGGCAAUAGACGCAAGUCUGACCGAGCAACGCCGCGUGAGUGAAGAAGGUUUUCGGAUCGUAAAACUCUGUUGUUAGAGAAGAACAAGGGUGAGAGUGGAAAGUUCAUCCCUUGACGGUAUCUAACCAGAAAGCCACGGCUAACUACGUG